This is a ribosomal RNA of Esox lucius (northern pike), 119 nucleotides long. The record is from Ensembl. NCBI's taxonomy places the organism in Eukaryota, Metazoa, Chordata, Actinopteri, Esociformes, Esocidae.
UCUUACGGCCACACCUCCCUGAGCACACCCGAUCUCGUCUGAUCUCAGAAGCUAAGCAGGGUCGGGCCCGGUUAGUACUUGGAUGGGAGACCGCCUGGGAAUCCCAGGUGCUGUAAGCC